GUCAUCCUUGGGCUUGAAAAAGGAGUUUUAAGCAGUAUUAAGAGUAGAAGGAUAAUGAAUAUUUAAACACAUAAUUUUGCAAACCCCUGGAGAAUGAGAAGAAACUUAGAGGCGGACACACACAGAGUGUGGAGACGGCAAACGUUCUCCCCUCCUUGCCUUUAGUUUUAAAAGGAUCCAUGGGAUUGAACUAUUACUCAUUAGGGUCUGCCUCCCCAGCUUUCUGCUCCGCGCUGGAUGCUCAGUGUUUGUGUAGAAAGCAAACAUAUUGCACUGUGUAAUAAGAUUUGAAUGCAAACAUUUAAUUAACAUUAUCUGUUCAGAAGCAUUGUUUAAACAACAGUUAACCUUCCUGUGCCAAAGCUGAAUGAAGCUUUGAAACUGGAGGCUGGGUUUUCUGCUCUGGUGACCAGUGCCAUGGAUUGAUGUGCUGUUGAUACAACCGCUUUCUCAGGUUUCACGUGUGGAAGUCUGUGAUGGAGCAGUAACUUCAUUAAUUUGGCCCGUACUGAUUCAGUUGAAUGCUAAUAUUUUGACCUUAUUCCCUAGGAAAUAUUCCUCCUGCUGCACAGACUUGGAAAGCGUGGCCAUCCCUGCCUUCUGAGCCACAUUUAUGACAAACUUUCAGGAAGAUAAUAUUUCACACGUAAAUACGUGAGCGUUGGUUGUUAACACUUUCUGUAUUACCAGAAAAAGGUAGGAGUCUUCAUUGCCCUGCAGCUUUUGAGUGUUCCUCUGUAUUUUUCAGCACCCUGAGAUGUCCAGUUCUGCCUGCCCUCUAGGAGGGACAAGGAUGUGAGCCCUGUGUGCACCUGAUCUCACCUGGGCUUGACACAGUCAUGAACCCCACAGAAGAUGAAGGUGCAGAGCUGGACAGCCUCUGCUCUUUAUUAAUUUCCUUGGAUCCUUGGCACGAAGCCCUCAAUUCCUGUGAUGUAAUGGUAUAAAAAGUUGGCUCCUGACCGAGCUUCCACCCACAAGUUCUAAAUUUGGAGCACGGCAAAUUUCUGCAGAUUCCAGAGACAGGCUAUGCUCAAGACGUGCUGAUGCCUCCAGUCCCAUCCUAUUGCACCAAACAACAAGGUUGUGUCUUUUUAUAACGGGGAUCAUAAAUAUGACUCAGAUGCACAUGUUGUCUAUGUAAGCACUUGGGGCUGGCUAUCACUUUAUGGCACUGGGAAGAAGCCAAGCCAAAUAAAAAUUGUUUUGAGUAAAUAUUACA
Molecule: long non-coding RNA, 1222 nt
Filed under: Cyanistes caeruleus (blue tit)
Lineage: Eukaryota; Metazoa; Chordata; Aves; Passeriformes; Paridae
Description: lncRNA (ENSCCEG00000016971.1)
Source: RNAcentral